UGUCAGGUCUCAGACUCACAUGGAAAAUUGUCAGGUCUCAGAAAAUCUUCCUGCAGGUGGCGCUGUUGUCAUGUCCCAUCCAAAUUGAUUUCCAAAUACGUCAUCAACGUGUGACAGUGGGAGAGCGCAAGGUCAUUGACCUCAGCGGAGUUUUACCGCGGUCCAGGCUCCUAACGACACAAGCAAAUGGACAAGCUGAAAGCUUACGAGCAGCUGAAAAAAGACCUUGAAAAUGGCGAGAUUACCCAAAAAGGCUUUGAUAACAACGUAAAAAGCUCCUGGCAGCAGAAAAAUCAGAUGACACUCCUUCAACAAGUGGCAAUGAAUUUCUCAGUGCAGCAGAGGCCUUUGGUAAAGCCAAGAAACUACUACAGCCUCAAGUAAAGAAAAGGCAAUUUCCAUUGAAUGAUAAACGUUUGGACCAUGGCAAAUCAUUAUUGAAGGUCAGAAUGGCUCCCAUGGAGUGGAAACCAAGAACUCCGAGAAGGUGUGGACGGUACCAGAAGUUAAUAAUGGACGAAGCUCCACCUCGAAUCAUCCUGCAAGGCCAUGAAACCUAUGAUGAUUUAAUUACCAUAGCCAAAGAACGCUUCUGGCCAGAGCGUACUGAGGGAGUGAGUUCACUCUUUGUCAUUCUGACGGGACCAGGUGGAGUAAGGAGGAUUUCCACAAAGAAUACAGAACUGUUUCUGAUAUUACACAUCUGUGGAAAAGAACACUAUACAUCGGGCGAAGACAACUGGGUAAUAAAGUGAUCAAUAUUGCUAUUAACUACUGUCUAGCACUCGAUUUUGUAUGGUAUGAAAUAAUUUUACUUUUUGUACAGAGGUCGUGUGUUUGGAUGAUCAAAGUUCCAUCUCAGGUGUGUGCCUGCCCAAACCAAAUUGAAUAUUUUUGAUUGUGUGAUUGAACAUGGUACACCAGGGGUGGACACCGAGGGCCGGUGUCCCUACAGGUUUUACAUGUGUCCUUGAACCAACACAGCUGAUUUAAAUGGCUAAAUUAUCUCCUCAACAUGUCCUGAUGUUCUCCAGAGGCCUGGUAACGAACUAAUCAUGUGAUUCAGGUGUGUUGACCCAAGGUGAGAUCUAAAACCUGCAGGGACACCGGCCCUCGGGGCCUGGAAUUGCCCACCCCUGUGGUACACGGACUAUGGUGGGCAUUCAGAUAUAUUGCAAUUAAUGUGUUAUUUUACAGAUGAAGACCCUGUAACUAAAGUGGGUGGUGAUGAAAGUUGCAGUUUAGGUGAAUGCCUGGACAUCUAACUAAAUCAUUAAAAUUGACUUCUUAUUUUGUUUGCAUUACAUUUCCAACCUUUACACACUUGUUUACUAUGCUUGGUCAUUGCACAUUUGUAAUAUGCAUCUUAUUCUGCAGAUGAACUUCCUGAAACCCUCAUAGGACAAAAUGUUGCAGAACAGUGUAUCUUCCACGUGUUCCAUAUGUGGAAGAGGCUUUAAUUACAUACAGCGAGGACAAUCUACUGGGAGAAGGGACAUUUGGCAAGGUAUAUAGAGGUUCUUUUCAUGGUACUCCAGCAGCUGUUAAAAGGAUCGUGUGUGGCCAACAAGGGAUGGAGGACAGCGACAUUCAUCAUGAGAUAAAUGUUUCACUGAGACUGUCUCACCCCAACAUCGUCAGACUAAUGGCAGUUGCCCGCACUGAGUCCUGCUUUUUGUUGGCAGCUGAAUACAUUCAUGGCGCAACCCUGCAGCAAGUGCUUCACACAGACAGCUGCUUGGUGAAGUUUCACAAGAGGACUGCAAUCAGGGAUUUUUGAUGGACACUUCCAAACAUUGACUUUGUUGGUCUUAGGUCCCAUUAUAUAUUGUCUUGAUAGCUUGAAGGGGAUGAUGCCGGUUUCAUAUCACUGGACUUAUCCAUGGCAGUAGAGUACAUCCAUGCACAGAGAAUCAUUCACCAGGAUAUAAAGCCAGCAAAUGUCAUGGUUCACCACCCUUCUAAGAAGGCAGUCCUGACAGACUGGGGCAUGGCAAACAUAAGAGACACUGUGAUGCUUCGUCAAGGGAGUAAGUUCACUGCCCAGGUUAUUGGUCCAGCUGGUGGCACAUAUCUUUACAUGGCUCCUGAAUGCAUACUGAUGUUUGAAGAGGCCUCGUUCCAGACAGACAUGUGGUCCCUCGGAGCCACAUAUCUGGAGAUCCUGACGGGGUCCGCUCCGUGGACUGUUAAAAACAAAGAGAACUGGCUGCACUAAUGGCCACCAAAACCCACCACAUGCCCUAUCACAUCUCAGUGACAAACACAGUUUUCUUGGUGGUUUGGUGAGCUAUGACCCAGACUCAAGGCCUUCCGCAUCUGAUGUUGUUAAGUUUCUCAAGUCAGGCCUUGAUCUUACAAGCCGAUAUGGCUACAAGUGGUAAUGUUGCUACAGUCUGCAGUUCAAAAGUCUUUCAAUGUUAAUUAUGUUAUACAUUAGGGUUAACAAAAGUUGUGUUAAAUGAAACACUGAAUCAUUAUGAAAGAUGGCACCUUGUCAAUUGUUUUUCAACAUUUUAUUGUACAUUUUGUUGGUCAGACAGUUUUCAAAUUACCUGUUGAUUGUAAACAAGGAUAAAUAAAUGUUAACAAACAA
Molecule: RNA transcript, 2596 nt
Organism: Oreochromis niloticus (Nile tilapia)
Lineage: Eukaryota; Metazoa; Chordata; Actinopteri; Cichliformes; Cichlidae
Gene name: mitogen-activated protein kinase kinase kinase 2-like
Exons: 10
Source: RefSeq, a predicted model, not a curated record